Molecule: transfer RNA, 77 nt
Filed under: Nitrosopumilaceae archaeon
Lineage: Archaea; Thermoproteati; Nitrososphaerota; Nitrososphaeria; Nitrosopumilales; Nitrosopumilaceae
Description: tRNA-Ala
Rfam family: tRNA
About the family: Transfer RNA (tRNA) molecules are approximately 80 nucleotides in length. Their secondary structure includes four short double-helical elements and three loops (D, anti-codon, and T loops).
Source: RNAcentral
GGGCCGGUCGUCUAGACUGGUAGGAUGGGUCCUUGGCAUGGAUCAGAUCGUGGGUUCAAAUCCCGCCCGGUCCACCA